Molecule: ribosomal RNA, 515 nt
Filed under: uncultured bacterium
Lineage: Bacteria
Description: bacterial SSU rRNA
Rfam family: Bacterial small subunit ribosomal RNA
Source: RNAcentral
AAUCAACGCUGGCGGCGUGCCUAACACAUGCAAGUCGAACGGGAAGGAGGGCUUCGGCUCUCCGGGGAGUGGCGCACGGGUGAGUAACACGUGGGUAAUCUGCCUUUGGGUGGGGAAUAACGAUCCGAAAGGGUCGCUAAUACCGCAUAACGCAGCGGCACCGCAUGGUGACAGUUGUUAAAGGGGGGGAUCGAAAGACCUCUCGCCUGAAGAGGAGCCCGCGCCCGAUUAGCUUGUUGGUGAGGUAAUGGCUCACCAAGGCUUCGAUCGGUAGCCGGCCUGAGAGGGCGGUCGGCCACACUGGCACUGAGACACGGGCCAGACUCCUACGGGAGGCAGCAGUGGGGAAUUUUGGGCAAUGGGCGAAAGCCUGACCUAGCAACGCCGCGUGAAGGACGAAAUCCCUCUGGGAUGUAAACUUCGAAAGUCAGGAAAGAAAUCGAGGGGGGUAAUAUCCCUCUUGGAUGACGGUACCUGACGUAAGCCCCGGCUAACUACGUGCCAGCAGCCGCGGU